RNAcentral lists this ribosomal RNA (1051 nucleotides) under Sphingomonas sp. RNAcentral describes it as "bacterial SSU rRNA". It matches the Rfam family "Bacterial small subunit ribosomal RNA", at positions 245 to 1317 of the family's 1533-position model. The record is from RNAcentral. Lineage: Bacteria; Pseudomonadati; Pseudomonadota; Alphaproteobacteria; Sphingomonadales; Sphingomonadaceae.
CUAGUUGGUGUGGUAAAGGCACACCAAAGCGACUAUCCUUAUCUGGUCUGAGAGGAUGAUCACCCACACUGGGACUGAGACUCGGCCCUUACUCCUACGGGAGGCAGCAGUGGGGAAUAUUGGACAAUGGGCGAAAGCCUGAUCCUGCAAUGCCGCGUGAGUGAUGAAGGCCUUAGGGUUGUAAAGCUCUUUUACCCGGGAUGAUAAUGACAGUACCGGGAGAAUAAGCUCCGGCUAACUCCGUGCCAGCAGCCGCGGUAAUACGGAGGGAGCUAGCGUUAUUCGGAAUUACUGGGCGUAAAGCGCACGUAGGCGGCUUUGUAAGUUAGAGGUGAAAGCCUGGAGCUCAACUCCAGAAUUGCCUUUAAGACUGCAUCGCUUGAAUCCACGAGAGGUGAGUGGAAUUUCGAGUGUAGAGGUGAAAUUCGUAGAUAUUCCGAAGAACACCAGUGGCCAAGGCCGCUCACUGGACUGGUAUUGACGCUGAAGUGCGAAAGCGUGGGGAGCACACAGGAUUAUAUACCCUGGUAGUCCACGCCGUAAACGAUGAUAACUAGCUGUCGGGGCUCUUAGAGCUUCGGUGGCGCAGCUACCGCAUUAAGUUAUCCGCCUGGGGAGUACGCCCGCAAGGUUAAAACUCAAAUGAAUGACGGGGCCCUGCACAAGCGGUGGAGCAGGGGUUUAUUUCGAAGCACCGCGCAGAACUUUACCAGCGUUUGACUUGCCCGGACGAUUUCGGGAGACCGAUCUCUUCCGUUCGGGGAGGGGAACACAGGUGCUGCAUGGCUGUCGUCAGCUCGUGUCGUGAGAUGUUGGGUUAAGUCCCGCAACGAGCGCAACCCUCGUCUUUAGUUGCCAUCAUUUAGUUGGGCACUCUAAGGAAACCGCCGGUGAUAAGCCGGAGGAAGGUGGGGAUGACGUCAAGUCCUCAUGGCCCUUACGCGCUGGGCUACACACGUGCUACAAUGGCGGUGACAGUGGGCAGCAAUCUCGCAAGGGUGAGCUAAUCUCCAAAAGCCGUCUCAGUUCGGAUUGUUCUAUAAAAAUUAAA